This 415-nucleotide ribosomal RNA is filed under the name uncultured gamma proteobacterium SUR-ATT-6. Its description in RNAcentral is "bacterial SSU rRNA". It matches the Rfam family "Bacterial small subunit ribosomal RNA", at positions 8 to 430 of the family's 1533-position model. The record is from RNAcentral. Lineage: Bacteria; Pseudomonadati; Pseudomonadota; Gammaproteobacteria.
AGAGUUUGAUCAUGGCUCAGAUUGAACGCUGGCGGCAGGCCUAACACAUGCAAGUCGAACGGUAACAGGAUAGCUUGCUAUCGCUGACGAGUGGCGGACGGGUGAGUAAUACUUAGGGAUCUGCCUCUGUGUGGGGGAUAACUAUUGGAAACGAUAGCUAAUACCGCAUAAUGUCUACCGACCAAAGCGGGCUUCGGCUCGUGCGCAGAGAGGAACCUAAGCGAGAUUAGCUAGUUGGUGAGGUAAAGGCUCACCAAGGCGACGAUCUCUAGCUGUUCUGAGAGGAAGAUCAGCCACACUGGAACUGAGACACGGUCCAUACUCCUACGGGAGGCAGCAGUGGGGAAUAUUGCACAAUGGGGGAUACCCUGAUGCACCCAUGCCGCGUGUGUGAAGAAGCCUUCCGGUUGUAAAG